This 1004-nucleotide long non-coding RNA is filed under the name Rattus norvegicus (Norway rat). RNAcentral describes it as "long non-coding RNA NONRATT016998". Lineage: Eukaryota; Metazoa; Chordata; Mammalia; Rodentia; Muridae. The record is from RNAcentral.
AAAAUUUGUAUGGUAGGUGUAAAGAAAAUCAUAGUAACUGUACCAUAUUAUUAACCCCUAAAUCAAACUUUUUUUGUCUUGUGUAUCUUGAUUUUUCUGUGUGCUUUAUAGUGAAGCAGCCGACACGAGUCGUUGUUCAUAAAACAGCUUUUGAAAGUUGAGAGCACACCCCUGGAGAACCGACUGUGCUUGCUUACGUUUGGUUCAUGACUUAAAAAUCGAGUACAGGUGAUGAAAUCUUGGCAGUGUUAACAAAACAGUAGUGUGUAUUGUGCUAUUUUUUUUACUCUAGAAACUUAACCAUUGUAGAGAAAAAGGAAACAAAUUUUCACACAUUGAAGUUUCAAUCUGACAUAAAAUUAAUGAUAAAUAAUCAUAGAGAUCAAACUUUAUAUUUUAGCGAACAUAAGUACUUUCAACAAACUCAGGUGGUGUAUCAGGGAGACAUUUUCUGGGUGUUUUUGUGUGUUUUCUGUCUUACAAGAGAGUGUGUUCUCAUGCAAGGAUGUUUCUCUGCAGGAGUUAUUCCUGAUGAGACUAAGGCUUUGUCUCUAUUGGCACCAGCUAAUGCAGUGGCAGGUCUUCUGCCUGGUGGUGGACUCCUGCCUACCCCCAACCCACUUACCCAGAUUGGCGCUGUUCCCCUGGCUGCAUUGGGAGCUCCAGCUCUUGAUCCUGCCCUUGCUGCUCUUGGGCUUCCAGGAACAAACUUGAACUCUCAGUCCCUUGCUGCAGACCAGCUAUUGAAGCUUAUGAGUACUGUUGAUCCCAAGUAAGCUUUAAAAUCCAGACAAGAAGGAAGAAAAGAGAAGACAUUCGAGAUCAAGGUCACGCUCCAGGAGGAGGAGGACCCCCUCAUCCUCCAGACACAGGCGGUCACGAAGCCGGUCAAGGAGGCGGUCACACUCCAAGUCCAGGAGUAGAAGGAGAUCCAAAAGUCCAAGACGGAGACGAUCUCAUUCGAGAGAGAGGGGUAGAAGGUCAAGGAGCACAUCCAAAGCCAG